Molecule: long non-coding RNA, 97 nt
Organism: Mustela erminea (ermine)
Lineage: Eukaryota; Metazoa; Chordata; Mammalia; Carnivora; Mustelidae
Exons: 4
Source: RefSeq, a predicted model, not a curated record
AGUUUUUGAUGUUGAGUUCAGUGAUUCGUUAUUUGGGUAUAACCCCAGUGCUCAUCACAUCCCGGGCCCUUCUUAAUACCCAUCACCUAGUUCACCG